RNAcentral lists this ribosomal RNA (706 nucleotides) under uncultured ciliate. RNAcentral describes it as "SSU rRNA". It matches the Rfam family "Eukaryotic small subunit ribosomal RNA", at positions 321 to 1030 of the family's 1831-position model. Lineage: Eukaryota; Ciliophora. The record is from RNAcentral.
UUCUUGAUGGUAGUGUAUUGGACUACCAUGGCUUUCACGGGUAACGGAGGAUUAGGGUUCGAUUCCGGAGAGGGAGCRUGAGAAACGGCUACCACAUCCACGGAAGGCAGCAGGCGCGUAAAUUACCCAAUCCUGACUCAGGGAGGUAGUGACAAGAAAUAACGGACCGAGCCUUUUGGCUUCGGGAUUGCAAUGAGCCGAAUUUAGACCCCUUAGCGAGUAACAAUUGGAGGGCAAGUCUGGUGCCAGCAGCCGCGGUAAUUCCAGCUCCAAUAGCGUAUAUUAAAGUUGUUGCAGUUAAAAAGCUCGUAGUUGGAUUUCUGUGAGAGUGUCUGCCUCGGCUCUGACGCUCGUGGGCAGCGCUCUUACAUCCUUCUGUUAACUGUUCUUGGCUUUCAUUUGCUGGUUCAGGGCUCAGAUAUUUUACCUUGAGAAAAUUAGAGUGUUUCAGGCAGGCUUAUGCACGGAAUACAUUAGCAUGGAAUAAUGGAAUAGGACCUGUGCGUCUCUCGAGGCGCCGGUCUCUGUUGUUGGUUUCGGGGACUAAAGUAAUGAUUAAUAGGGAUAGUUGGGGGCAUUAGUAUUUAAUAGUCAGAGGUGAAAUUCUCGGAUUUGUUAAAGACUAACUUAUGCGAAAGCAUUUGCCAAGGAUGUUUUCAUUAAUCAAGAACGAAAGUUAGGGGAUCAAAGACGAUCAGAUACCGUC